CAACCUGCGAUUUCCAGGGUUUCAGCCACAUCUCCAACCGACGAUGGCGGCGUGAUAUGCGACGACCGCUUGAUCUCCGGCCGUGGAAGGUUUUCGAUUGUUGAAGAAGAAGCCCAAGAUCAUGCAGCAGCAUCUUGAUUAUUGUUUCCCUGGUUUAUGGCUAUCCAAGAUAACUCCUCGAUCCUACAAAGCCAAUGAAUAAGACAUGUGUUCUUAUAGUCCGUAUACAUUGUGAAGGUUGUAAGGAUAGGUCAGGAAGAAGGUGCAGAAGGUUCAAGAAGGAAAAUGUUUGUCUGGCAAACUCUAUAUCUGAAAUGCAUAAAUUUGGAGCAAUCUAUAAUAUCAAAUGGUUCUCAUACUUUGGCACAUGAAUCCAAUGAUUUGGGUAAAAAAGAUAAAAAGAAGAAAGGAACAAAAAGAGGAAGGCACUUUGAUAGAGAUUCUCGAGCUACUAAUCCAGAGGUCUCAAUUUGGUGUGAUCUCACUGUAGUUGAAGACA
Zingiber officinale is the source of this 499-nucleotide long non-coding RNA. RefSeq lists it as uncharacterized. The record is from RefSeq and is a predicted model, not a curated record. The transcript is spliced from 6 exons. Lineage: Eukaryota; Viridiplantae; Streptophyta; Magnoliopsida; Zingiberales; Zingiberaceae.